This 690-nucleotide ribosomal RNA is filed under the name Flavobacterium sp. T151.10.BKT.W.Gill.D. RNAcentral describes it as "bacterial SSU rRNA". It matches the Rfam family "Bacterial small subunit ribosomal RNA", at positions 60 to 752 of the family's 1533-position model. Lineage: Bacteria; Pseudomonadati; Bacteroidota; Flavobacteriia; Flavobacteriales; Flavobacteriaceae. The record is from RNAcentral.
AGUCGAGGGGUAUGUUCUUCGGAAUUAGAGACCGGCGCACGGGUGCGUAACGCGUAUGCAAUCUACCUUUUACAGAGGGAUAGCCCAGAGAAAUUUGGAUUAAUACCUCAUAGUAUUAUGAAAUGGCAUCAUUUUAUAAUUAAAGUCACAACGGUAAAAGAUGAGCAUGCGUCCCAUUAGCUAGUUGGUAAGGUAACGGCUUACCAAGGCUACGAUGGGUAGGGGUCCUGAGAGGGAGAUCCCCCACACUGGUACUGAGACACGGACCAGACUCCUACGGGAGGCAGCAGUGAGGAAUAUUGGACAAUGGGCGCAAGCCUGAUCCAGCCAUGCCGCGUGCAGGAUGACGGUCCUAUGGAUUGUAAACUGCUUUUAUACAGGAAGAAACCCUGGUUCGUGAACCAGCUUGACGGUACUGUAAGAAUAAGGAUCGGCUAACUCCGUGCCAGCAGCCGCGGUAAUACGGAGGAUCCAAGCGUUAUCCGGAAUCAUUGGGUUUAAAGGGUCCGUAGGCGGUUUAAUAAGUCAGUGGUGAAAGCCCAUCGCUCAACGGUGGAACGGCCAUUGAUACUGUUAAACUUGAAUUAUUAGGAAGUAACUAGAAUAUGUAGUGUAGCGGUGAAAUGCUUAGAGAUUACAUGGAAUACCAAUUGCGAAGGCAGGUUACUACUAAUUGAUUGACGCUGAUGG